UUACGGCCAUACCAUGCUGAAUAUACCGAUUCUCGUUAGAUCACCGAUGUCAAGCAUCAUUGGGCGCGGUCAGUACUUGGGUGGGUGACCACCUGAGAACACCGCGUGCCGUU
This 113-nucleotide ribosomal RNA is filed under the name Caerostris extrusa. The record is from RNAcentral. Lineage: Eukaryota; Metazoa; Arthropoda; Arachnida; Araneae; Araneidae.